RNAcentral lists this long non-coding RNA (1171 nucleotides) under Ornithorhynchus anatinus (platypus). RNAcentral's name for it is "lncRNA (ENSOANG00000042083.1)". The record is from RNAcentral. Lineage: Eukaryota; Metazoa; Chordata; Mammalia; Monotremata; Ornithorhynchidae.
AUGGAGUGGCCGCUCAGCUCGACUGAUCCAUCCACACCACGCCGGGUGUUUCCUGCAGCAACUGUCACCAGGGCAACCAGCAGUCAGGCGAAGCCACGAGGUUCCCUCAUCACUGCCCGGUCAUUCUCUAAGCACACGCCCUGGUCAGUCAGUUCCCCCUUCCAGCUGACUCCUGAACUCCAACGUCAGUGUGGUAAAAGCCACCUUCCCUUUUUUCUUCUUUUCCUUUUCCCUUUUCCCUUCCUUCCCUCUUUCCUCCCACCCACUCUUCCUCAGUCCUUCUGUCUCUUCUCCCCCACUUCUUCUCUCCCUCACUGCCUCAUUCCCUCACUGUCUCGCUCCCUCACUGCUGCUUCUCUUCCUUUCUUGCUCCUUCCCAUAGGCAGAAGCUGUGAUUCCACUGGAAAGGUGAAAGAGGUAUUUCAGCUCUCUGGCCAUGCUCGGUGUCGUCUUGGCUCUUCUCACCUGGCGGGAAGAGGCCCACAAAACACCACACAGGACCAUUAUUGGAAAGCCAAAAGAUUUUUACUUCUCCUCAGUAUGGCGUCCCUGGGUAAUAAUCAGGUAAGCGCUCUUCUCCACAGCUCUCUAAAACUUUUUUUUUCCUCGGGACCCAUAACUGUGUCAUUUAAGUGCUUAUUCUAAGCCAAGCACGUCGUAGGUACCGGAGAAGCAGCGUGACCCAGCGGAAAGACCAAGGGCCUGGAAGCCAGAGGACCUGAGUUCUAAAUUCAGCUUCACCACUUGUCGGCUGCGGGACCUUGGGCAGGUCAGUCUCCUUCCUUGGCAGGGUCGGGGAUUGAGAGGUAGAAAGGUAAACUCCUCGCUGAGCCCCGGCAUUGAUUUCAUCGUUUAAUUUUGGGGGGCCGUCAAGGGAAGAAGGGGACUGAACCCCCGGGGAGAGCCGGGGUCUGGGAUAAGAAAGGAAGCUUGUGACCUCUGGUGCCGCUGCUCUGGAGCCAACGUUCAGAGAAGCAAAUGUUUGUAAGCAUAAGGGGCCAAAUCUCCUUCCUAUUUAGGAGGUUCAGAAAACAAACAGUGCAGGGAGCGGAUGCUGGGAGGUGAUCUUAUAGAACGCCUUUCCAUGCCACUGGACGUUUCCUAAAUCAUUAACGAGAACCUUAAUCGUAUUUAGGUCAAAAUGCAGACAGAAGCUUAUAUAGUCAAUCCC